This 403-nucleotide ribosomal RNA is filed under the name uncultured bacterium. RNAcentral's name for it is "bacterial SSU rRNA". It matches the Rfam family "Bacterial small subunit ribosomal RNA", at positions 355 to 774 of the family's 1533-position model. The record is from RNAcentral.
CGGGGAAUAUUGCGCAAUGGACGGAAGUCAGACGCAGCGACGCCGCGUGGGUGAGGAAGGCCUUCGGGUUGUAAAGCCCUUUUGAGGGGGAAGAGGAAGGACGGUACCCUUGGAAUAAGCGUCGGCUAACUACGUGCCAGCAGCCGCGGUAAGACGUAGGACGCAAGCGUUAUCCGGAUUUACUGGGCGUAAAGCGCCUGUAGGCGGUCAGGUAAGUCGGAUGUGAAAGCCCCGUGCUCAACGCGGGGAGGCCAUUCGAUACUGCGUGACUAGAGAACGGCAGAGGGAAACGGAAUUUCUGGUGUAGCGGUAAAAUGCGCAGAGAUCAGAAAGAACACCGAUGGCGAAGGCAGUUUCCUAGGCCGCAUCUGACGCUGAGAGGCGAAAGCUAGGGGAGCGAACA